CGUGUCUGAAAGUAUAAAAAAGAAAAAGAAAAACAUUCUUUCAAUUAGCAAAUGAUUAGCUAGCACUUACCAUGUACUGGGGUAUUGGGUAAGGGGCAGAGUUAGGGGCUAAUAAACAAUAAACUGAUAUCCCCAGUUUAGGAUAUUUAAAGAAGGAUACAGGCGUGCAAUCUUAGAAUGUGUAACCCUACCUUCCAGGAUAUCACUGUCUAGAAGGCAAUGAGCAUGGAGACAAUUAUAUACAUACAGAGUUCAGGGUUAUAAUGAAGUCCACAAUUCCAAAGAGACACAAAGAAAGGGUGGGGAGGAAUUUUGGGUACAAAACAAAGGCCCAGUAUGAACCUACAGUUGGAGACAGUGGAGGUGAGGCAACAAAAGGUUUUUCAAGCAAACUAUGUUUAAAGAGAACAAGUGAAAAACAACAUGACUAGUAGUCACCAAAAAACCCAUAGCCUGGAGACAGCUCUGUGAGUUCAAGGCCAGCCUGGUCUAAAGAGUGAGUUUUAAGACAGCCAAAAUAAACACAGAGAAACCCUGUCUCAAAAGGGGAAAAUAAAAAAUAAACCUACAUCCUGACUGGCUCCACACACAGCUAUGGUAUCACAAAAAAAGAUGAUGCUACCUGGGAUAGGUCAUUUUAUAAAUUAAUUAUUUGUUUAUUGGUGAUGCUAGGAAUUGAACCCAAGGCCUCGUGUGUGGUAGACAAGCAAUCUAUCACCAAACUAUAUCCUAGCCCCCGUUUUGGUUUUGAUUUGAAUUUUUUUGGAAAAUUUCCUUUCUAUUCUUGGUACCACUACGGCCAAGGAAUUAAACAAGGAAUAAGUCUGAUGCGACGGAAAGAAGAUCUAUAACAGGUGACCUUGGUGUCAAUCCAGCUGGCACCACACUUCAUCAACGACGCUGCUACACUUGUCUCAACUUUUGGCUGAGGAUCUCCUAACAAGAAGGAUUCCUGCUUCUGCUGCAGAAACCUCCCUGGACCUUCUGGCCCAGCUGAAGAAGAAAGACCAACAGAGAGUUAAAACAGAGAGUGGUGGCACCUACAAGAGGCUCAGGGAUCUAUGUGGAAAAGGAGGCAAGAAGAUUAUUAGAGUCAGAGGUGAAGAAGGAUGGCUCCAAGGAGACUGUGCAACACAUAAAAGACCUACACAGGUUCAAGCCAGACAGGGUCCAGCACUGAGGGAGAAGUAGACAGACACGGAGUCCCAGCCCUAACCAAGAAGCUACUUGCAACUGACAUUACUGCCAAAGGGAAAAUCAGUUUUCUCCAAUAUCUUCAAUAUCACUGGAUAUACCAACCACACUCCUGAGUCAACUAAACACCCAGGAGUAGUUGGUCAUCACAAAAUGAACUCAAUGGUAUUUUUGUGGACUUUUUGUUUCUUGCUUGGGGAUUUGUUUUGUUUUUGAGAGAAAUAAAAAACAUAAAUUUGAGUGAGUAAUGGGAGGUAUUGGGGCUGGGGAGAACAUGACCAAAAUAUAUGAAAAAGUUAAUAAACAAAUAACAGAGUAAUGUAAGAAGAACUGUAAAAGGGUCAUUUUCUGCUGUUUUGGGUCACCAUCACGGGAAAUGCACGUUUGUUCUGAGAUACCUGUAAAGCACCCAAGUAGAUUUCAAAUAGGCUGCUGGUGGAGUGUGAGGGUCCCCUAAUAACCAGAAAGUGAGUCCUUACCUCCAAGUCCUUCCGAAUGCUCUCAAACUCUUCAAUGUCAUCGAGCUUGAGCUCCAGGCGCGUUGGUUUCCGCCGUAGCAUAGUGAAGUCAGCACUGGCGGUCACACCCAGUGGCUGUCGGAAA
Non-coding RNA from Myodes glareolus (Bank vole), 1797 nucleotides. The record is from RefSeq and is a predicted model, not a curated record. NCBI's taxonomy places the organism in Eukaryota, Metazoa, Chordata, Mammalia, Rodentia, Cricetidae.